RNAcentral lists this ribosomal RNA (404 nucleotides) under uncultured bacterium. RNAcentral describes it as "bacterial SSU rRNA". It matches the Rfam family "Bacterial small subunit ribosomal RNA", at positions 32 to 414 of the family's 1533-position model. The record is from RNAcentral.
AAUCAACGCUGGCGGCGUGCCUCAGACAUGCAAGUCGAACGCGAAAGUUUCCUUCGGGGGAUGAGUAGAGUGGCGCACGGGUGAGUAACACGUAGGUAAUCUACCUUUGGAUGGGGAAUAACAAUCGGAAACGGUUGCUAAUACCGCAUAAUGCAGCGGCACCUAAUGGUGGCAGUUGUUAAAGCGGGGGAUCGAAAGACCUCGCGUCUGAAGAGGAGCCUGCGGCGGAUAGCUAGUUGGUAAGGUAACGGCUUACCAAGGCGACGAUCCGUAGCCGGCCUGAGGAGGGCGGUCGGCCACACUGACACUGACAUACGGGUCAGACUCCUACGGGAGGCAGCAGUCGGGAAUUUUGGGCAAUGGGCGAAAGCCUGACCCAGCAACCGCCGCGUGAAGGAUGAAAU